Molecule: ribosomal RNA, 253 nt
Filed under: uncultured bacterium
Lineage: Bacteria
Description: partial 16S ribosomal RNA
Rfam family: Bacterial small subunit ribosomal RNA
Source: RNAcentral
UACGUAGGGUGCGAGCGUUAAUCGGAAUUACUGGGCGUAAAGCGUGCGCAGGCGGUUUUGUAAGUCAGAUGUGAAAUCCCCGGGCUCAACCUGGGAAUUGCAUUUGUGACUGCACGGCUAGAGUGUGUCAGAGGGGGGUAGAAUUCCACGUGUAGCAGUGAAAUGCGUAGAGAUGUGGAGGAAUACCGAUGGCGAAGGCAGCCCCCUGGGAUAACACUGACGCUCAUGCACGAAAGCGUAGGGAGCAAACAGG